Molecule: transfer RNA, 73 nt
Filed under: Felis catus (domestic cat)
Lineage: Eukaryota; Metazoa; Chordata; Mammalia; Carnivora; Felidae
Rfam family: tRNA
About the family: Transfer RNA (tRNA) molecules are approximately 80 nucleotides in length.
Source: Rfam by way of RNAcentral
ACCCAGCUGGCUCAGCCGGUAGAGCAUAUGACUCUUGAUCUCAGGGUUGGGAGCUCAAGCCCCAUGUUGGGUA